CGGGGCGUAGCGCAGCCCGGUAGCGCGCCUGUUUUGGGAGCAGGAUGUCGGAGGUUCAAAUCCUCUCGCCCCGA
Molecule: transfer RNA, 74 nt
Filed under: bacterium
Lineage: Bacteria
Description: tRNA-Pro
Rfam family: tRNA
About the family: Transfer RNA (tRNA) molecules are approximately 80 nucleotides in length. Their secondary structure includes four short double-helical elements and three loops (D, anti-codon, and T loops).
Source: RNAcentral